AGGAGGGCGUUAGAGAAUGAAUCUCGGGGGGAGGCAGAGAAAGUCAUGGAGCAGAGAGCUUCCAGGUGUGGAGAUUGAACCACUGUGAGAGUGGGAGGGAACAAAGGUCAUUCUGGAAGCCCCAGCAUGAGCUGGAAGUUGAGUAGAAGACUUGGCAGUUGCCUUUCCUGAAGACCCAGGUCAGAGGUCUGACUCCUGAUUUGGCUGUUAGCUUCCUGCACCCCACUUGUUAGAGGCAGCAUUUGUCGUGUACUACAAAAUCUGCGGCCCUGAAGCUGGCCAGAGGGGCCAAGUGAGGCAUGUAGGAGAGUAACCCACAGGGCCUAGGAUAACACACCCAUGGUCCCACAGGCGCCAGUGGUGGGGGGCUAGGAUAUCAUACACACGGUCACACAGACACGAGGGGGGAAGCCUAGGAUAUCACAUUCACAGACACAGAUAUCAGUGGGGGGGGCUAGGAUAACACCCCCUACACUCAAGGAGAGCCAAAUGGGGUGGGAGGGCUACCUAACAUAACUCAGUGGCAUCCAGAGAGAGGAUUAUGGAGACAAUGUGGAUGGCAAAAUAGUAUUUUCACCUUUUUGGUUUUUGUUUGCUUGGGGUUUGUUUCUUGUGGUUUUUUUUUUUCAGUUUUGAACUCAUUUUUUUGUGUGUGCAUCAUGAAGUAUAUGGAAAUAUGUUUAGAAAAACCACACAUGUUUAACUUAUAUUGGUUUGCUUGGUAUCUUGGGAAGGGAAGGGGAAGAGAGAGAGAAAAAUUAGAAAGCAAGGUUUUGCAAAGGGGAAUAAGAAACCCUUUGCAUGUAUUUGAAAAUAAAAUACUAGUAAAAAAAUAGUUUAUGAGUAGCCAGUUUCGAGAGUCUUUGAAAGUUUACAAAUAUAUUUUACAAGCUCUUUACUCUGUACCCUUUCCCACCCCCUAGACAAUGAUCAAAUUUCUUUUUAAAAACACCCAUGCAAAUUUUUCAUAGGCCUCAACUUUAUAACAAUAUCUCCAAAUAACUUGGUUAACAGUGUCAAAUUUUUUCUAAGCAAGAGGCAAACAAGUCAAGGUAAAAUUUCUCUUUAUUCAUAAGCAUAAGUGCAAGUGUAUAAAUUCUUAGACUACUUUAGAGCAUCAAGCACAUUGUUACAGUCCAUUUCUUAACCUAACAACAUCUAGAUUGCUUUUGUAACAACAGAGCUUAUAAAAUUUUACCAAUGUUUCCAAUUGACGGCAUUCUCCAAUAUAAGAACAUUUUGAAACACAACAAUGUAAUAAACAAUGUGAUGUCAUUAACAUUUGAAGGAAAACCCAUUAUUUAAACUAAAUCCCCUCUGACUGCGGUGGUCUUAAUUCAAUUGAAUUAUUCUUUCCCAAGGACAGAACAUCUCAUCUCCAUUGGCAGGUUACA
Molecule: long non-coding RNA, 1394 nt
Filed under: Sarcophilus harrisii (Tasmanian devil)
Lineage: Eukaryota; Metazoa; Chordata; Mammalia; Dasyuromorphia; Dasyuridae
Description: lncRNA (ENSSHAG00000022687.1)
Source: RNAcentral